AAAAAUCAAAGAUAGAAGGUCACCUACAUGAUCAAGAAGGUGGUUCACCCAGGGUUAGGCUCGGCCAUUGCACUCUGACUUUGCUGACCCCUGAGACUUCCCCAAAUGUGGGAAACUCGACUGCAAGAUUUCGGGUAGAUUUCUGAAUUUUUUCUUCU
Molecule: small nuclear RNA, 158 nt
Organism: Mugil cephalus (flathead mullet)
Lineage: Eukaryota; Metazoa; Chordata; Actinopteri; Mugiliformes; Mugilidae
Product: U1 spliceosomal RNA
Exons: 1
Source: RefSeq, a predicted model, not a curated record